CUUGAAUGGUUGACGCUGGUAUUUAUAGAUGCGCGAGAGCCAAAUAAACACUAAUGGAUCUGAAAAGGUCUAAGCCAUCAGGUAUCUAGGAAAAAGAGGAAAGAAGAAGAGAAACGCACAAAAGAUAAAAGUUUGUUUCCAGAGGAUAAGACGUUUGAGCAGUGUUUGGAUGAGUACUAUAAACUGGAUUAUGAGGACAUCAUUGAUGACUUGCCAGGCCGGUUCCGUUACAGGGAGGCGGUACCCAACGACUUCGACCUGACCACUGAUGAGAUCCUAAAAGCUGAUGAAAAGGAGCUAAACCAGUGGUACUAGCUGAGGAAGACUUGCAUGUACAGGAAUGGCAAAAGAUGCCGACGGAUACCAAGGGCAAGGUGGGCAAGAGGGAUCGUCUGAAGAGGUCAGAGGCCAUGAACUGGAAGAUCUCACAGAGGAGAAAUCCGAAAGCAGACAAAGCGGAGGUCCAGGAUCCUGAGAAGCCACUGCAAUGGAGGAGUUCCUGUUUCCUAAGAAGAUGAAAGCGGAAAAGACUCCAGAAACCCAGAAAGAGGACGUGCCCAAAUAAAAAAACUGAAAACCCUAAAUGGCCGAAAAGGCGCCCAGAUGGUCGAUUUCACUUAAUGAAAUGAAUACAUUCAUGCACAAAUACUUUCACAUUCAUCUUUUGUGUUAAGCACUGCCCUCUUGAUCAGUGUUUUCAAUCCAUUAACUGUAUUCGGUGUGAGAUA
Xyrauchen texanus (razorback sucker) is the source of this 728-nucleotide long non-coding RNA. RefSeq lists it as uncharacterized. Lineage: Eukaryota; Metazoa; Chordata; Actinopteri; Cypriniformes; Catostomidae. The record is from RefSeq and is a predicted model, not a curated record. The transcript is spliced from 4 exons.